CUUCCCCCUCUUGCGCAUUUCGCAGCUGCGCUGGUGUGGGGCAUGAGAGCGAGGUGGCUCCAGGUCUCCGCGGAGCAGCUGCCAGUGGGAGAGCGAGGAGAGGCGAGGGGGCGGCAGCCUCGGCCCGAAGACUGUUUCCUUGGGCCCUCGGUUUAAUGCUGUCCACCACCCAUGAGCAAAACUCUUUCUAUGGCAAGAAACAUCGAACACCUGUAGUGGACGGAGAUCCUGGGGUCCUAAAUUUGUGGCCAAUUGCACUGUGUCCUGGAGACGGAGUGGAACCACAGCCCAGAGCCCCUGGGAAUCAUCCCUGAAAGACUGCAUUACUUCUCCAUGGAGUCUUCCUCCUCCUGCUUAUUUUCUUUUUGGGUAAGGUCUAUCUUUUUA
Molecule: long non-coding RNA, 387 nt
Filed under: Pan troglodytes (chimpanzee)
Lineage: Eukaryota; Metazoa; Chordata; Mammalia; Primates; Hominidae
Description: long non-coding RNA NONPTRT001678
Source: RNAcentral